GACGAACGCUGGCGGCGUGCUUAACACAUGCAAGUCGAACGGUAAGGCCCUUCGGGGUACACGAGUGGCGAACGGGUGAGUAACACGUGGGUGAUCUGCCCUGCACUUCGGGAUAAGCCUGGGAAACUGGGUCUAAUACCGGAUAGGACCACUGCCUGCAUGGGUGGUGGUGGAAAGCUUUUGCGGUGUGGGAUGGGCCCGCGGCCUAUCAGCUUGUUGGUGGGGUGAUGGCCUACCAAGGCGACGACGGGUAGCCGGCCUGAGUGGGUGACCGGCCACACUGGGACUGAGAGACGGCCCAGACUCCGACGGGAGGGAGCAGUGGGGAAUAUUGCACAAUGGGCGCAAGCCUGAUGCAGCGACGCCGCGUGAGGGAUGACGGCCUUCGGGUUGUAAACCUCUUUCAGCACCGACGAAGCGCAAGUGACGGUAGGUGCAGAAGAAGGACCGGCCAACUACGUGCCAGCCGCCGCGGUAA
This 478-nucleotide ribosomal RNA is filed under the name uncultured bacterium. Its description in RNAcentral is "partial 16S ribosomal RNA". It matches the Rfam family "Bacterial small subunit ribosomal RNA", at positions 28 to 523 of the family's 1533-position model. The record is from RNAcentral.